This 315-nucleotide ribosomal RNA is filed under the name uncultured eukaryote. RNAcentral describes it as "partial 18S ribosomal RNA". It matches the Rfam family "Eukaryotic small subunit ribosomal RNA", at positions 1470 to 1796 of the family's 1831-position model. The record is from RNAcentral.
CCCUUAGAUGUCCUGGGCCGCACGCGUGCUACACUGACACUUGCAACGAGUACUUUGCUUUACCGAAAGGUAAUGCUAAUCAUCAAUAAGUGUCGUGAUGGGGAUAGAUCUUUGGAAUUAUGGAUCUUGAACGAGGAAUGCCUAGUAAGCGUAGGUCAUUAGCCUACGCUGAUUAAGUCCCUGCCCUUUGUACACACCGCCCGUCGCUCCUACCGAUUUCGAGUGGUCCGGUGAAACUUUUGGACCGUGCGACUUUAUUGUUGUCACGGAAAGUCAGUUAAACCAUACUACUUAGAGGAAGGAGAANUCGUANCA